GAAUUCACUAGUGAUUCAGGCCUAACACAUGCAAGUCGAGCGAGGUUUUCGGACCUAGCGGCGGACGGGUGAGUAACGCGUGGGAACGUGCCCCUUGGUACGGAAUAGCCCCGGGAAACUGGGAGUAAUACCGUAUGAGCUCUACGGAGGAAAGAUUUAUCGCCAAGGGAUCGGCCCGCGUUGGAUUAGGUAGUUGGUGGGGUAAUGGCCUACCAAGCCGACGAUCCAUAGCUGGUUUGAGAGGAUGAUCAGCCACACUGGGACUGAGACACGGCCCAGACUCCUACGGGAGGCAGCAGUGGGGAAUCUUAGACGAUGGGCGCAAGCCUGAUCUAGCCAUGCCGCGUGAGCGAUGGAGGCCUUAGGGUUGUAAAGCUCUUUCAGCGAGGAAGAUAAUGAC
RNAcentral lists this ribosomal RNA (400 nucleotides) under uncultured bacterium. Its description in RNAcentral is "bacterial SSU rRNA". It matches the Rfam family "Bacterial small subunit ribosomal RNA", at positions 34 to 455 of the family's 1533-position model. The record is from RNAcentral.